GAUGUCAUAAUCACUGUGCUAUUUCAGCACAUUACUCAUGUGUUUGUGGUGAUGCUGACGGAAACAAGCCUGCUGUGCUGCCAGUUGUACGAAGAUCUUGUAAACACUCGUGGGAAGGAGGGGCAGUCAUCUCAGAACCAUGAGAACAAAGCCCUGUGCUAAAGAUGGAUAAGAGGAACACAAAAUGAUUUGGGGUUCAUGAUGCAAGCUAUGCACAAUGGCUCUCAUCUUGGAUCACUUCUCCAGAAUUUUUAAGACAAAUGCACUUUACCUACUAAAGCAAGUUUUGGCAUUAGAAUGAGAUCCUGGUCCUUUCUUAUGCAGUGAGAGUAAUUAUCUAUCUCCACCGAUGCUGACAGCAGGAGUCACAGCACGCAGUAGGAGGUGGGGCCCGUUGAACACAAUGGAGCAGUUGGGAUCACAGCUGUGGUUGAGUAAGGACACACUGAAAACAGAGAGGAAGAUCAUCACGGCUCAGCAGAUGGAGUGAAACAGCUACACUUGGUGGGAGUGCAGAUAUCUCAGACACCAGCCAGAUAACAUGAAGAUGGAGAGAAAAAAUGACGUGUAAAGAAAUCAUCUUUGAGAUAACAGGAUGCAGCAGCAAUCACUGCAGCUAAGAUGCCACUGACCUUUCCCACAAAGGAUCUCAUUUAGCGUCUCUACUACAACAUAAUAAUGAGGUGGACUUCCUCUUCCAAGGAAGUUGAGAGGGUCUUCCUAACUAGAUGUUCAUGCGCUCUGGGGCAUAGCCUCAUCAUUUUAUUACACUGAAAGUGCAGUCUUUAACAUCUGGGAAAUGGACUGUAUUUAAACUUCCACCAUAAAUUGAUAAUAAUUAGAACAAGCAUUUGCUGUACAGACAGUACUUUCUUAAUGCUUGAGCAUGUUUAUCUAAUGCAGUCAUCACAAUGACUUUACAGUGCUCGCUUCAGCAGCACAUAUACAAUGAUUCUACAAAGAUCAUUUGCAGAUGAAGAGACAGAUACACAGAGGUUAAAUAAUUCACCCAAGCAUACACACGAGUGAGUGGUGACUCAAUUUGAACCAGGUGGCCUGAACUCAGAGCCCAUGCUCUGAACCAUUCUGCGCUAUUGGCUUUUGAGAACCAAUACUAAUAGACCUGACUUGCAGCUAAUGGCACUUGUGGGAAAGAAGAAGCCAAAUUCUCAAAUUUGUGGUUAAUUAUAAAAAAGAAUAUAUUUAUACUUGACCCCAAAUGACAUAAAAACAAAAUGAAAGUAGGAAUGACACUAGUGCUCGUGGAAGGGCAGCACAGUAGCUCAGGGACAAAGGUCAUCACAGUGACAGUUGUAGAAGCAGUGCAGAUAGCCAAUCUUGAAAGUUUUCUUGCCUUCUGGAGCUUUGGGGCUCAGAGUAUGCUAAUGCAAAUGACAAAAGGGACCCACUACUAUGAGGCAGUAAGUCUGAUAAGAUUCACACGUGUUUCAGCACAGGGAGUAGGGCAGUAAGAUCAGGGACGGUGUAGGGGAUAACCAAACCUCAGCUUGACAGUUAACUGGUACCCACAAUCCUCAACUUCCUACCCCAAAGCUCCUAAGAACAAAAAUUUAGUUCUGAGGCCUGCCUCUUCAUUAACAGCAUAGCACAUAAAGUGCAGUUAUAAAACUUAACAUUUUUACAUCUUCUUGUAAUUCAUCACUAAGUUACCAGCCUGGCUCUUGAGCCAGUUGCUGUGAUAUCAUUCUAACUGCCUCCAAAAGGCUGGGAACUGGGUGAGAAUUAAGGUCGUGUCUUCCAGGCAAUGA
Molecule: long non-coding RNA, 1769 nt
Organism: Chinchilla lanigera (long-tailed chinchilla)
Lineage: Eukaryota; Metazoa; Chordata; Mammalia; Rodentia; Chinchillidae
Exons: 5
Source: RefSeq, a predicted model, not a curated record